UCAAUUUAUAUACUCACUCACUGGUUCCAGUCACCAGAUCACAAAAUGGUAUACUAUUUCUCUCUCUCCCUCCAUCUGAGGGUUCUAAACCCCAAAACCACAUUAUUCUGGAGCCACUUCUUUUGGUCCUAUUUUGCUAAUAUUUUGGCUGCCAUGGUGGAUUGUCUCUUAGCUCAGUUCUCUUUUGAUUUGAUUCAGGUACAACUGGACACUCAAAUGCCCCUGGAGACACCCCCGUGGGAAGCCGUGAACUGUAACUGGGUUUCUUUGCCUAUUAUCUUGGAGGUGGAAGACUGUGACAGUAAGCUCUGGUAA
RNAcentral lists this long non-coding RNA (315 nucleotides) under Mustela putorius furo (domestic ferret). RNAcentral's name for it is "lncRNA (ENSMPUG00000030749.1)". Lineage: Eukaryota; Metazoa; Chordata; Mammalia; Carnivora; Mustelidae. The record is from RNAcentral.